Molecule: ribosomal RNA, 254 nt
Filed under: uncultured Planctomycetales bacterium
Lineage: Bacteria; Pseudomonadati; Planctomycetota; Planctomycetia; Planctomycetales
Also listed under: 1 other name
Description: partial 16S ribosomal RNA
Rfam family: Bacterial small subunit ribosomal RNA
Source: RNAcentral
GUGGGUUUGUAAGUCCGAUGUGAAAGCCCUCGGCUCAACCGGGGAAUGCCAUUGGAUACUGCGUACCUGGAGUGCGGGAGGGGAGAGUGGAACUCUUGGUGGAGCGGUGAAAUGCGUAGAUAUCAAGAGGAACGCCGGUGGCGAAAGCGACUCUCUGGCCCGUGACUGACGCUGAGGCGCGAAAGCCAGUGUAGCGAACGGGAUUAGAUACCCCGGUAGUCCUGGCCCUAAACGAUGGGCACUAAGUAGAGGGG